UCUUAAGAAUUGUCUUCCCUUUUCUUAACACAAACCCCAGAAACAAGGGUAAUUCGAAGGACCAAAAAACUUUCAAGCUAAUAAUUACUAAAAUUUUUAAUUUACAAAGAAAAUAAUUUUUCAAACUCAGUGGCAGCUCCUUCCUACUCUUUCCUCUUCUUCUACUUGUUAACAUCUUCACGGCGGUUUUCUUCAAAAAAUUCCGCUUUACUCAGUACCUCUUUGGAAAUCCCAGAUUUAUAAAGGCUUUGAAGACCUAAAGAUCUGCUCUUCCUUGGACUCUUAACACCUGCAGAAUUUUCUAUGCUAUUUGCCAUCAACAAUCCCUCAAUCCAAUCACCCCAAGACAAUUGUUGAGAAAAACUAGAGCUUGAAGAUAUUAAACAAAAGCUUUAGUAGCUGUUAAGUUUAAUAUUAUUCAUUGACUUAAAGAAGCUUUUAUAGGCCAUUACAAAACAGAAAUAAUAACAAUUGUAUCCACGAUCAUUUAUCGUGAAUAUCUCUAAGGAAGAAUAAAUCAAAGAGAAACAAUAUCCUACAAACUAGGAUUUAUUUCAAC
RNAcentral lists this long non-coding RNA (559 nucleotides) under Olea europaea subsp. europaea. The record is from RNAcentral. Lineage: Eukaryota; Viridiplantae; Streptophyta; Magnoliopsida; Lamiales; Oleaceae.